AACGCACCUUGCGCUCCUAGGUUUUCCGAGGAGCAUGCCUGUUUGAGUGUCCAGAAUGAUCUCAUUCAACACUUUGGUGGUGAAUGGACUUGGAGGUUUGCAGUGAUUUAUACAUAGCUCCUCCUAAAUAUAUUAGCCAGCUGGUGAUGAACUGCUGUCGGCUUGAUAACACUGUCUAUGCCCACGGCUGUACAUGUGCAGCAGCUUUCUAGUCGUCCUUGGACAAUUUAUUUGAGCUCGGGCCUCAAAUCAGGUAGGACUACCCGCUGAACUUAA
This 276-nucleotide unclassified non-coding RNA is filed under the name uncultured fungus. RNAcentral describes it as "sequence contains ITS2". The record is from RNAcentral. Lineage: Eukaryota; Fungi.